RNAcentral lists this ribosomal RNA (197 nucleotides) under Mycoplasma sp. RNAcentral's name for it is "partial 16S ribosomal RNA". It matches the Rfam family "Bacterial small subunit ribosomal RNA", at positions 1034 to 1233 of the family's 1533-position model. The record is from RNAcentral. Lineage: Bacteria; Bacillati; Mycoplasmatota; Mollicutes; Mycoplasmatales; Mycoplasmataceae.
ACAGAUGGUGCAUGGUUGUCGUCAGCUCGUGUCGUGAGAUGUUCGGUUAAGUCCUGCAACGAGCGCAACCCUUGUCCUUAGUUACCAGCAUUUAGUUGGGGACUCUAAGGAGACUGCCCGAGUAAUUGGGAGGAAGGUGGGGACGACGUCAAAUCAUCAUGCCUCUUACGAGUGGGGCUACACACGUGCUACAAUGG